This is a small nuclear RNA of Mastomys coucha (southern multimammate mouse), 104 nucleotides long. Lineage: Eukaryota; Metazoa; Chordata; Mammalia; Rodentia; Muridae. The record is from RefSeq and is a predicted model, not a curated record.
GUGCUAGCGUAGGCAGCAGGUAUACUAAGAUUGGAACGAUACAGAGAUUAGCAUGGUCCCUGCGCAAGGAUGACGUGCAAAUAUGAGAGGCAUUCCAUAUUUAA